CUACACAUAUAAAAUUCAUAAAAUUCCUAAUGCAACUUAAAAUCAUUAUUCCCCUUAUUGCGGCAUUCAAAGGCUUCCACUUGCAAACCCUCAGAAGUAUACAGUGUUGUAAAUUGUAAGAAUCAAUUAUGACGGAUACAAAUACUUUGAAUCAUACAGAACGACUUAGACAAUAUGGAACAGAAGAAGAUUAUGUUGGCAGUAACAUAUAAAAGGACGGGUUACGUAAGACUAGAAAAAUGUAAACAUACCUAAGAUGAGCGGCAAACUUAUAUUUGCAUCUCAAGACGUCACCAUUCAGCAUGCUCGUUUUCCAAGCCAAUUAGCCAAGGCAUCAGGUCAGUCAGAGAAAUUAUGGUGCACACUCAUUGAGAACAUUUUCAUCCAUGGCAUGCAGUUCAUCCCUAAUUAGCCCAAGCAAUAUUCCUAAAAAGCAAUACACCUCUGAAGCUUGAGGGUGGCACUUAUCACUUGAAACAAACGUGUGAAUAGCACCACCAAGUUCUAUCCAGCUACAACCUGGAACUUUGUGAUCACACCUAUCUCUCAUCAGCUUGCGAACUCUUGCCACAUCAUGCCACUGCUCCUCAGAGGCAUACAUGUUAGAUAUAAGAGCAUAAUAUACAGGAAUGUUUGGCUCCAAUUCCAAAAGCUUUUCUGCAGCCCACUUAGCUAAUUUUAAAUAUCCAUGGAUUUUGCACGCCCCAAUGAAGGCUGCCAAGAUGUCUGAUCUCUGUCCAAUUGGCAUUGAGGUCAAUACACUAAAAGCCUCAUCCAAAAAACCAGCUCGACCAAGAAGGUCAAUGAGACAACCAUAGUGCUCUAGAUGCGGUAUAAUUUGAUAAUGUUUUAUCAUUAAGCUAAAGUAACGAAACCCCUCCUUUAUUAAUCCUGCAUGGCUGCGGGCAGAAAGAACCCCAAGAAAAGCAAUUUUAUCUGGCAUUACACCUGUAGAUAACAUCUUUUCAAACAUCUCGAUGCUAUCUUUUGGAAGACUGUUGAAUGCAUAAGCGCCAACAAGUGAAGUCCGUGUAACAUGAUUGGGCUCCGGAACUGAGUUAAAGCAUUCCAGUGCACUAGCAGUUCUGCCACACUUGGCGUAUGCGUUUAUUAUGGCAUUUCCAAUUGAUAGAAAGGAAUGAAAUCCCAUUUUUACUACAUAAGCAUGAACUUGCAUAAUUUCAUAACUUGCUGAUGCAUUGCUACAUGAACCAAGGAUACUAGCUACAGUUAGUUCAUCUGGAGUGAAAACCUCUCGCAACAUUUCCUUUAGAAGUUUCAUAGCCUCCUUCCCAUCUCCAAGCUGCCCGUAAGCCACAACCAUAGUAUUCCAAGACACUACAUUAUUAGCAGCCAUAUCAUCAAAAGCCUUCCGAGCAUCUUCUAUAUUUUCACUCUUUGCAUACAUAUCAACAAGUCCACUAGAUACUAUAAUAUCUAAAUCAAAAGACAGCUUGAUGAUAAGACCAUGAAUUUGCCUUCCUAAUUCACAAGAACCCAAAGUCGCACAUGAAUUGAGCAUACUAGAAAAUGUAAAACCAUCCCCUAUCAAAUUUUCCAGUCGCAUCAAGUUAAAUACUCUGAAAGCCUCUUCUUCCAAGGAAUUCAAUGCAUUGCAAGACAACAUCACAUUCCACAACACCAAGUCUGGGCACAAUACUUUAUCAAAAAUUCUCCUUGCAUCCUCGACCAAUCCACAUUUCCCGUACAAAUCAACGAGCGCACUACUGACAAAACAGCUCAACUCGAAACCUAAUUUCAAUAUGAAACAGUGCAAUUGUCCACCAAUCUCAACGUUAUUUAACUCAAGACAGGCACGAAGCAAACCAUUCAACGUUAUGGGAUCCAAACUUACCUGAUUCAGUAGCAUUCUCUUCAAAUAAGAAAAACAUACGUAGAGACUUGAACCGUAAUUAUUACGA
Molecule: unclassified non-coding RNA, 1922 nt
Filed under: Hevea brasiliensis (rubber tree)
Lineage: Eukaryota; Viridiplantae; Streptophyta; Magnoliopsida; Malpighiales; Euphorbiaceae
Source: RNAcentral